GAUGAACGCUGGCGGCGUGCCUAAUACAUGCAAGUCGAGCGAACAGAUAAGGAGCUUGCUCCUUUGACGUUAGCGGCGGACGUGUGAGUAACACGUGGGUAACCUACCUAUAAGACUGGAAUAACUCCGGGAAACCGGGGCUAAUGCCGGAUAACAUUUAGAACCGCAUGGUUCUAAAGUGAAAGAUGGUUUUGCUAUCACUUAUAGAUGGACCCGCGCCGUAUUAGCUAGUUGGUAAGGUAACGGCUUACCAAGGCAACGAUACGUAGCCGACCUGAGAGGGUGAUCGGCCACACUGGAACUGAGACACGGUCCAGACUCCUACGGGAGGCAGCAGUAGGGAAUCUUCCGCAAUGGGCGAAAGCCUGACGGAGCAACGCCGCGUGAGUGAUGAAGGUCUUCGGAUCGUAAAACUCUGUUAUUAGGGAAGAACAAAUGUGUAAGUAACUGUGCACGUCUUGACGGUACCUAAUCAGAAAGCCACGGCUAACUACGUG
RNAcentral lists this ribosomal RNA (497 nucleotides) under uncultured bacterium. RNAcentral's name for it is "partial 16S ribosomal RNA". It matches the Rfam family "Bacterial small subunit ribosomal RNA", at positions 28 to 507 of the family's 1533-position model. The record is from RNAcentral.